This 388-nucleotide ribosomal RNA is filed under the name uncultured bacterium. Its description in RNAcentral is "bacterial SSU rRNA". It matches the Rfam family "Bacterial small subunit ribosomal RNA", at positions 28 to 413 of the family's 1533-position model. The record is from RNAcentral.
GACGAACGCUGGCGGCGUGCUUAACACAUGCAAGUCGAGCGGUAAGGCCCUUUCGGGGGUACACGAGCGGCGGACGGGUGAGUAAUGCUUAGGAAUCUGCCUAGUAGUGGGGGAUAACCCGGGGAAACUCGGGCUAAUACCGCAUACGCCCUACGGGGGAAAGGCGGGGGACGUUUCGGGCCUCGCGCUAUUAGAUGAGCCUAAGUCCGAUUAGCUAGUUGGUAGGGUAAGUGGCCUACCAAGGCGACGAUCGGUAGCNGGUCUGAGAGGACGACCAGCCACACUGGGACUGAGACACGGCCCACGACUCCUACGGGAGGGCAGCAGUGGGGAAGUAUUGGACAAUGGGGGCGAACCCUGAUGCAGCGACGCCGCGUGAGCGAUGAAG